RNAcentral lists this long non-coding RNA (237 nucleotides) under Gossypium barbadense (sea-island cotton). RNAcentral describes it as "long non-coding RNA (GBAR_LNC020429)". Lineage: Eukaryota; Viridiplantae; Streptophyta; Magnoliopsida; Malvales; Malvaceae. The record is from RNAcentral.
AGCAAGAUGGGUUGUAGCCAAAGCUUGGAAAGAGAUACCAGGACCCCACCGAAAGUUGGAAAGCAUAGUCUUAGUGAUAUAGCAAAAGGAAAAUGUGAUACACCUCUACUAAGUCUUUGCUUCAAAGUUUGAUGACUCUUGCAGGUCCAACAUACACAAGGACAAUAUGUAGUAGUCUUGUACCAUAAUUAGGUUUCAAUAUAAUUAGCAACUUCAACCAAAAUGUAUGUAUUUAGG